ACGCUGGCGGCGUGCCUAAUACAUGCAAGUCGAGCGAACAGAUGAGGAGCUUGCUCCUCUGACGUUAGCGGCGGACGGGUGAGUAACACGUGGAUAACCUACCUAUAAGACCGGGAUAACUUCGGGAAACCGGAGCUAAUACCGGAUAAUAUAUUGAACCGCAUGGUUCAAUAGUGAAAGACGGUUUUGCUGUCACUUAUAGAUGGAUCCGCGCCGCAUUAGCUAGUUGGUAAGGUAACGGCUUACCAAGGCAACGAUGCGUAGCCGACCUGAGAGGGUGAUCGGCCACACUGGAACUGAGACACGGUCCAGACUCCUACGGGAGGCAGCAGUAGGGAAUCUUCCGCAAUGGGCGAAAGCCUGACGGAGCAACGCCGCGUGAGUGAUGAAGGUCUUCGGAUCGUAAAACUCUGUUAUUAGGGAAGAACAAAUGUGUAAGUAACUAUGCACGUCUUGACGGUACCUAAUCAGAAAGCCACGGCUAACUACGUGCCAGCAGCCGCGGUAAUACGUAGGUGGCAAGCGUUAUCCGGAAUUAUUGGGCGUAAAGCGCGCGUAGGCGGUUUUUUAAGUCUGAUGUGAAAGCCCACGGCUCAACCGUGGAGGGUCAUUGGAAACUGGAAAACUUGAGUGCAGAAGAGGAAAGUGGAAUUCCAUGUGUAGCGGUGAAAUGCGCAGAGAUAUGGAGGAACACCAGUGGCGAAGGCGACUUUCUGGUCUGUAACUGACGCUGAUGUGCGAAAGCGUGGGGAUCAAACAGGAUUAG
This 766-nucleotide ribosomal RNA is filed under the name uncultured Staphylococcus sp. RNAcentral describes it as "bacterial SSU rRNA". It matches the Rfam family "Bacterial small subunit ribosomal RNA", at positions 33 to 781 of the family's 1533-position model. Lineage: Bacteria; Bacillati; Bacillota; Bacilli; Caryophanales; Staphylococcaceae. The record is from RNAcentral.